Molecule: long non-coding RNA, 557 nt
Organism: Lotus japonicus
Lineage: Eukaryota; Viridiplantae; Streptophyta; Magnoliopsida; Fabales; Fabaceae
Exons: 2
Source: RefSeq, a predicted model, not a curated record
UAUCUCUCUCUCUCUCUCUCUCUCUCUCUCUCUCUCUCUCUAUGUUUGUAAUCCCUGCCGCUCAUCUUUGAAUAAAAGCUUUCUUCUCCUCGCAGGUCUAAUGAAGUUGCAACACUUAAGUCUGCAAAGUUUCAAUGGAGAAGGCGAUAGAACUACUGGAGGCACAACCACAAAUAAUUUGGUUUAUUAUAUUAUAGUUUCAGUUGUUCAACUUUACAAUGAACUAAAGGAGUGGAAUCAAGAGAAAUUGAAGCAUCACACCCCUAAAAUAAACAAUGCAGAUAAAGCAAAUGACAUCACAAUAUGUCUUUCUUUGUAUCCUCUCUAGGGUCUUUCUAUGAUACCAACUGUAAUCUCUAUUUUAAGUAGUCUCAAAAAAAAAAUAUAACCAACUACCUAGCAUUGUGUGCAAGGUGCAACAGUUGGUAGCUUUGUGGAAUUAGUUUUGUGGAUUGUUAAAGCAAGCAGACAUAAAUUGUCCUAUUAAUUUAGGAUGAUAAAAAACAAAUGCUUCAUAUAUAUGAUGACUUACUAUAAUAAACAAUCAUGAAAAUGCA